RNAcentral lists this ribosomal RNA (352 nucleotides) under uncultured bacterium. RNAcentral describes it as "bacterial SSU rRNA". It matches the Rfam family "Bacterial small subunit ribosomal RNA", at positions 380 to 710 of the family's 1533-position model. The record is from RNAcentral.
AUGCAGCCGACGCCCGCCGUUGAGGGAUGGAGAGCCCNUUCGGGUUUGUAAACCNUCUUUUUGUUUAGGGAGCAAGGGCACUUUUGUUGUUUGAGUUGUUACCUUUUCGAAUAAGCACCGGCNAACNACGUUGCCAGCAGCNCGCGGUAAUACGUAGGGUGCAAGCGGUAUCCGGAAUACUUGGGCGUAAAGGGCUUCGUAGGCGGUUUCGUCGCGUCCGGUGUGAAAGUUCCAUCGCUUAACGGUUGGAUCCGCGCCCGGGUACGGGCGGGCUUUGAGUUGCGGUAGGGGAGACUUGGAAUUUCCCGGUUGUUAACGGUUGGAAUUGUGUAGAUUUUCGGGNAAGAACACC